Macaca fascicularis (crab-eating macaque) is the source of this 3273-nucleotide long non-coding RNA. The record is from Ensembl. NCBI's taxonomy places the organism in Eukaryota, Metazoa, Chordata, Mammalia, Primates, Cercopithecidae.
UUUUUUUUUUUUUUCACAGCUUUUGUUUUGGCAUAAUGGCAGCAUGGAGAGAAGGUAACAUUUACAUGGCGGACUUCAUCAAAACCUCAGAAGGUUUUUAUUUUAAAAUUUUAAACGUAAAGAAUGACUCUUAAAAAUAAGAAAUAACAGUCCAUAAAGUGGACAUGUCCAAAGCCAAAGUUUUUCAUCUCUUCUUUAACAGUUAAAAUACAAGUUAGAAAGUUUGCUGGCAGUUUAUUUCACAGGAAUAUAUCAGAUGAACGUCAUCUCUGAAUGCACUCCUAACUCACAGCGAUGAAGGGAACAGGCAUACAGAAAAUACAAUGGACAGGGAAUCCACCAGACAGGACCCAAACUUCGGGGGUCAAAAGCGCCGUUAAGAGAUGCUGGUUUGUUAUUGGAUGAAGGCCCAGAUGACAGAGUUACUGCUUCAUCACACUGACUCACAUUUCGGUUUGCAAUCCACUUUCCUCUCUCCUCAUUUCCACAUGGAGGAAAAAAAGUGAUUUUCCUUUCCUACUCCCAGUAUCAUUUCUGACUGAAGUGUUGGUCUAAGACUGUGAACAAUCCUGUCCAACAGGGGUGUUGCUGGGUGUCACCUACUAGGACCGGCCUACAGAGAGCCCAGAACCACCUGAUGCGGGGGUGCUGCUGCUGACAGAGAAUAUGCAAUUCUCCUCACCACUGGUACUAACACUAAAGGCUCUGCUAAAAUGGACUAAAUUAUGUGAGUCAACAUCAUGUUUUCUGUUUUUGGCAUUUCAACCCAUGGAGAAUUUCUAUCUGAAACAAGCUGCUCUGAGGCUUGAAGAUACCCCACUCCCCCCAGUAUCUUCAAAAGCUGUUCUGCAGAAUCAGGAGUAAUAUUUAAUACCGCUGUCAUCUAUAGAAUUCUUUGUUUCUACAUGAUUUGUCGCUGCCGAUACUAUAUCCUCUAAAAUCAAUAGUAUGCCAAAAGGCACUAAUCUUUCACACUUUAAAAAAAAAAAAAAAAAAAAAGGUUUUGUGGUCCCUGUGUUUCCUUACAUUAUCAAAAAUACUAUUUGGCAAAAGCAGUACUUAGUUUUCCCCUCCCCAAAGCCAACCCUAGUGACGGCCCUCACUUUCUUGCUUGUUUCUUUAGGGGGCCUGAGGACUGACUAUGUUAGAUCUCUGUAUUAUUGAAGCUGAACAACUGAUGACAUUUCUAAAACUCUUUCUACCUAGGACUUUUAAAACACUAGUUGAAGAAGAAUAAGGCAUAUUAGUAGGUAAGGACAAAUUCUCAAAAAAGUAGAGUUGGGCUUUUAACAGUCUGUGGCAUUUUUUUAAAUUCUGGAUUUGUUGGUUUUCAAGUGCUAAAUACACAGAAUAUUUAUAUAGGAGACAAAUAUCUUAUUGGUUUGUUAUUUUCUUCAAAGCACUUAUUUACAGACUAUCUAUAGUAGUCAAAACUACCUGGAAAACAUAUUUUUCUGCCACAUAGAAAGGGUUAGACAGUCAUACUUGGGAUGCAUCUCAAAUUUAUGAUGAAGAAAGAACAGACUAACCCCCUGCAACAGAGCCCCCACCCCAACCUUGCCCACACAGACAACUUACACACACUCUGAUACGUGUAACUGUGAGGAGACCAGGCAUCCCUCAAACAAAAAGCUGACAGUCUACAGGGUGGGUUGGUGAAAAAUUGGAUUCCUGGUUUAUUCACUGAGUUGAAAAAAUCACAAGGCAGAAGAGAACAAUUCCAACACACCCAAUGCAAGCUGUGAGGCUGGCCCAGGAGAGAACAUUCUCCUCAAAUUUACUGAUCAAUGCCUCCUGCCAUCUGACAGAGAAGACAUAAGAAAUGAGAGGGUUUGUCCAUCUGCUGCCAUCUUGAAGGCUUUUGGAAGUGAGACAGGAAAUCCAAACUCCCAACCUAAGUUUGUAAAUGAAGGUGGCCAAAGCAGGGUUGCCCCAGCCCUAUAAUUGGAUCACCCAGUUUCCACAGGUCCUUAAAGUAGGCGUCUGGGAAGGUGGAGUCCAGAUUGGUGUGUCCUGUCCUGACCACAGGCAGCCCAUCUUCUGAGAGGAAUCACCCCUCAGUGCAACCAGCAACCCAUCUGGCCAGACUGGAACCCAGUUCUAACCCACCCCAAGACCCAAGCAGAAGAGGCCAACACAGGCCUUGGAGGUUGCUCUUGACUUCCCUCUUCUUCCUCUCUCACCAGCUCAAGAUAGACUGUAAAGAAUAACUGUCCCACAGUCCAACAAAUGGUGUCAAAACAGAGCCCGAUGCCUGUGAUUUCAAAGCUAACAAUGGCAGGACCAAGUCACACAAACUCUGGAUGUUCCUUGGGCUGCCAUCCCAAGAGAGAAAUUCCACUUGCAGACUGCCACAUGGUCAUCGUGCCCUCCUUUAAAGCAGAACUUCCUGUCAUUUGAUCACAAAAGGCAGCCUCACACGAAGUGAGCAGCCGGUGUGCCUUCAUUCAACUUCCCCAUGUGGAGUGGUAACUGAGAAAACCAUUCAAAUCAACAACGUCUAGAACACACUCUGGGUGGGGCUGAAAUCUGGCAUGAAAACAGACUCAGCUUACAGUCACCAUGAUCUCCAGGUCAUGCCGUUUUAUUUCAGCUAACGAAAGGUGUCUGGCGAGUUGAAGGAAUGACAUGGUGAAAUAUGGAGCCAGUCAUCUCCAUAAUCACACUUAAAGUUGAACAGGAAUCAUUAUAAAACUUCUAUUCAAGGAUAAAACCCAACUCUAAGCCUGGUUGGGUGGUAUGUUCCCUCCCCAUUGAGGAGUAGUGGUUCCUUGCUCUGAGCAGAACAGCCUAGAAUGUCCGUGUAGAUCUACCACAUUAGUAAGAAAAAGCAGUGCCCAUGCUUGCUACAAAUCACAAGGCUCUCUUAAAUAUCACUUGCAUCUCUAAAAUCUAACCAGUUCCUAGGACUCCUCUCUUCUGUCUUCCUCUGGAUUUUUAACCCAGGCGAAUGAAAUCUAUCACUUCCCAGGCCUGGGGCAGCUGCUAGAGAGGGCCUUGCAUUCCACUGCCAUGUAUUCAAACCUCAAAACCUAUGUCUGUCUGCUUGAGGUAAAGUAAAAAAUACUAAUAAUAAAUAUUUAAGAGAGGAGUAGUGAUCUCAGGACCACAAUUUUGUGGAGCCAAGAAGGGUGGGGUGAUGAAACCUCUACAAGGCAGUCUUUGGCAGAGAAGCCUCCGUGUGACACUUCUAGGGAAUAUCUCCUGUGUGCUUGAUCAAAACGAAGAGGCAAAUGGUUGGGGCUGCUGGCCCUCAGAGGCCUGGGGGAGCCU